CAUCUACUUAGGUCUACUGAAUUUUUAUACAAAAAUGGCCAUGAAGCAGAAAACAGCAUCAUGUGUGCCACCUGACUAUUUUCUACGUACGUGCACAGCACUUCAGAGUGACAGUGUGAAGAACUACGUAAAAACAAACUCAAAGCCAUUCAUCUCUCCAGUGCAGUGGAUCCUGAAAGAAAUCAGUUAUCCCAAAUCCAGGGGAUUAUCCAAAGUUUCUCCAACUUCUUACAAAGGAUAAACUCAAAGCAAGUUGGUUAGAAUGCCAGUUUCUUCAAGCAACUGAUACUUCAGAUAAAAAUAGCGAGAUCCUCUUAAAAUAAAACUUCAACUGCUUUGUCACAACUCAAUCAUUUUUAUGAAGAAAAAAAGGCAUUGUUACAAUGGCUCAAAAAUCGUUCCUUUAGUUAUAAGUAGAAUUGGUCAAAAGGUUGAUUGCACCUUCUAGCUAGCAAAGGUCUUUCCCACAUCUUCUUUCCCUUUGUAUUUCCUCUUGCCAUGUGUGAAGGGUAUAUAUCUGUACUUUAUCAUAUGCUUGAUUUGCCUCUUCAUAGUGAUACAAAACAGCAUAAUGAAGUACAUCACAAGGAUUGGCCAAAAAACAGGAACGUUGAAAGCCUCAAAGAAUGUACAUGCCAUAGCAACCAGGAUGCCUUUAGUGGCCGAGUGCCUUAAAAAUAGCAUUAACAAUUAAUCCUUCAACACCAGUCACCGUUAAUUAAUGCAGAUAUUUACACAUUUCAGAAACAGAACGUGGGCAGAUAGACCAACUCACCAGAAUUUAAACUCUGGGAGCCUCCGAAUGAAAGGCCGAAAUUCUUCAUUUUGCCUUGUGGGUAAGGAAGGACCAUCAUCUGAAUCUUCCAUUAAAGAGGGAUCUACCUUUGGCGACAAGAAAGCUAUAAAGAGAUUUAGAUGGUAGAUUCCCAAGGCAUAUGUCACAAUGUACCAACCCUGCAGUAAAUAAACUCUAAUCAUGUAGAUAAAACUCAGACCCAAAGUUACGAUCCAUCGCACUGCAGUAUAUGGAGUAGAUUUGUCUAACCAGGACUGGUAGAUCUGCCCGAGUCUUGUGAAAAAUCGAUAGACCACAGAAGGCUUCCCAUGAACAGACUCACCAAUACUGUCCCCUUCUGACAUGGUUGAGGCGGCUAAGCCGAAUCCUGCCUUCCGUCCCCCCCCCCCCCGCCUCCACAG
RNAcentral lists this long non-coding RNA (1197 nucleotides) under Gallus gallus (chicken). The record is from RNAcentral. Lineage: Eukaryota; Metazoa; Chordata; Aves; Galliformes; Phasianidae.